UACAGAGGUCCCAAGCGUUGUUCGGAUUCACUGGGCGUAAAGGGUGCGUAGGUGGUGAGGUAAGUCGGAUGUGAAAGCUCGGAGCUCAACUCCGAAAUGGCAUUGGAAACUACCUUGCUCGAGGGUUGGAGGGGGGACUGGAAUGCUUGGUGUAGCAGUGAAAUGCGUAGAGAUCAUGAGGAAGACCAGUGGCGAAGGCGGGUCUCUGGACAGUUCCUGUCACUGAGACACGAAGGCCAGGGGAGCAAACGGG
This 253-nucleotide ribosomal RNA is filed under the name uncultured bacterium. RNAcentral's name for it is "partial 16S ribosomal RNA". It matches the Rfam family "Bacterial small subunit ribosomal RNA", at positions 524 to 776 of the family's 1533-position model. The record is from RNAcentral.